AUUGAACGCUGGCGGCAGGCCUAACACAUGCAAGUCGGACGGUAGCACAGAGGAGCUUGCUCCUCGGGUGACGAGUGGCGGACGGGUGAGUAAUGUCUGGGAAACUGCCCGAUGGAGGGGGAUAACUACUGGAAACGGUAGCUAAUACCGCAUAACGUCGCAAGACCAAAGUGGGGGACCUUCGGGCCUCACACCAUCGGAUGUGCCCAGAUGGGAUUAGCUGGUAGGCGGGGUAACGGCCCACCUAGGCGACGAUCCCUAGCUGGUCUGAGAGGAUGACGAGCCAAACUGGAACUGAGACACGGGCCAGACGCCUACGGGAGGCAGCAGUGGGGAAUAUUGCACAAUGGGCGCAAGCCUGAUGCAGCCAUGCCGCGUGUAUGAAGAAGGCCUUCGGGUUGUAAAGUACUUUCAGCGGGGAGGAAGGUGCUGAGGUUAAUAAGCUCAGCAAUUGACGUUACCCGCAGAAGAAGCACCGGCUAGCUCCGUGCCAGCCGCCGCGGUAA
RNAcentral lists this ribosomal RNA (506 nucleotides) under uncultured bacterium. Its description in RNAcentral is "partial 16S ribosomal RNA". It matches the Rfam family "Bacterial small subunit ribosomal RNA", at positions 29 to 523 of the family's 1533-position model. The record is from RNAcentral.